UCCCUGAUGGUCCAGUGGCUAAGACUCUGUGCUCCCAAUUCAAGGGGCUCAGGUUCGAUCCCUGAUCAGGGAA
Bos taurus (domestic cattle) is the source of this 73-nucleotide non-coding RNA. Lineage: Eukaryota; Metazoa; Chordata; Mammalia; Artiodactyla; Bovidae. The record is from Rfam.